This 207-nucleotide ribosomal RNA is filed under the name uncultured bacterium. RNAcentral's name for it is "partial 16S ribosomal RNA". It matches the Rfam family "Bacterial small subunit ribosomal RNA", at positions 568 to 774 of the family's 1533-position model. The record is from RNAcentral.
CGCGUAGGCGGCCUUCUAAGUCAGACGUGAAAUCCCUCGGCUUAACCGGGGAACUGCGUCUGAUACUGGAGGGCUUGAAUUCGGGAGAGGGAUGUGGAAUUCCAGGUGUAGCGGUGAAAUGCGUAGAUAUCUGGAGGAACACCGGUGGCGAAGGCGGCAUCCUGGACCGAGAUUGACGCUGAGGCGCGAAAGCUAGGGGAGCAAACG